AUGAGCCAUGCGCCCGGGUUGGAGCGGCUCACGCGGUCCGUCCCCGGCGAGGCCACGAAGGGCGUCACCAUGGAGGCGAGCGCGACGGGGGAGCCCGAGAGGUCGUGCACCGUGACGGACCACCCCUUGCGCUCCUUCCCGGCCGCCUCCCGCUCCGUCUGCGCGGCCGACCUCCGCAGGUCGCUGUUGGUGCGGCAGCCGAACUUGCAGGUGAACAUGGGCUGCUUCAUGCUGCCCCGGACCUGCAUCACCUGCGGGCUGCACUCCGGCUCGCCGUCGAACUCGAACACGAACCGCGGAUCAGGCUCCGCGCGGACGGUGAGGCUGAGCUCCGCGGCCGCGGACCCACCACCCUUGCCGCCAACGCCGCGCCUCCCGACGGAAAUCCAGCCGCUGUGCAGCACCGCGGGCUUGGCCUCGGCGCCCUUGAGAUCCAGCGAGAUGGUGGCCUUCCCGAGCAGCCGCCCGGAGCUGACCCCGCAGGUGGUGCCCUUGCGGCCGGCGUAG
This 507-nucleotide ribosomal RNA is filed under the name Triticum aestivum (bread wheat). Its description in RNAcentral is "partial small subunit ribosomal RNA". The record is from RNAcentral. Lineage: Eukaryota; Viridiplantae; Streptophyta; Magnoliopsida; Poales; Poaceae.